UAAGGACAGCAGCAGCCGCGGGAAUACAGAGGGUGCGAGCGUUAAUCGGAUUUACUGGGCGUAAAGCGUGCGUAGGCGGCUUUUUAAGUCGGAUGUGAAAUCCCUGAGCUUAACUUAGGAAUUGCAUUCGAUACUGGGAAGCUAGAGUAUGGGAGAGGAUGGUAGAAUUCCAGGUGUAGCGGUGAAAUGCGUAGAGAUCUGGAGGAAUACCGAUGGCGAAGGCAGCCAUCUGGCCUAAUACUGACGCUGAGGUACGAAAGCAUGGGGAGCAAACAGGAUUAGAUACCCCCGUAGUCCCUGUCUCUUAUAC
This 310-nucleotide ribosomal RNA is filed under the name uncultured bacterium. RNAcentral's name for it is "partial 16S ribosomal RNA". It matches the Rfam family "Bacterial small subunit ribosomal RNA", at positions 502 to 807 of the family's 1533-position model. The record is from RNAcentral.